RNAcentral lists this microRNA precursor (220 nucleotides) under Sorghum bicolor (sorghum). Its description in RNAcentral is "MIR6217 microRNA precursor family". It matches the Rfam family "MIR6217 microRNA precursor family". Lineage: Eukaryota; Viridiplantae; Streptophyta; Magnoliopsida; Poales; Poaceae. The record is from Rfam by way of RNAcentral.
UAGCUACAAAAUAACUUAUUCUAUAGCCACUUUGAGUUAUGAUAAUUACUACAUUAGUUUACGAGAUUAUAGUAACUCUAUACUAAGUGGUUGACUAUAAUAUUAUGGUAAAUAUCUCUGUUUAACCCAACUGUCUUAAAUAUAUAUAGAUAUUAUCGUAAAUUAGUAUAUAAAAUUAUUGUAAAUGGACAUGACUAUAGAAUAACUUAUUCUGUAGCUG